RNAcentral lists this small nuclear RNA (23 nucleotides) under Arabidopsis thaliana (thale cress). RNAcentral's name for it is "snRNA_16582". The record is from RNAcentral. Lineage: Eukaryota; Viridiplantae; Streptophyta; Magnoliopsida; Brassicales; Brassicaceae.
UUUGGAUUGGCGUUUAUUGGUCA